This 543-nucleotide ribosomal RNA is filed under the name uncultured bacterium. Its description in RNAcentral is "bacterial SSU rRNA". It matches the Rfam family "Bacterial small subunit ribosomal RNA", at positions 777 to 1319 of the family's 1533-position model. The record is from RNAcentral.
AAUAGAUACCCGGGUAGUCCACGCCGUAAACGAUGAGUGCUAAGUGUUAGGGGGUUUCCGCCCCUUAGUGCUGCAGCUAACGCAUUAAGCACUCCGCCUGGGGAGUACGGUCGCAAGACUGAAACUCAAAGGAAUUGACGGGGGCCCGCACAAGCGGUGGAGCAUGUGGUUUAAUUCGAAGCAACGCGAAGAACCUUACCAGGUCUUGACAUCCCAUUGACCGCUAUGGAGACAUAGCUUUCCCUUCGGGGACAGUGGUGACAGGUGGUGCAUGGUUGUCGUCAGCUCGUGUCGUGAGAUGUUGGGUUAAGUCCCGCAACGAGCGCAACCCUUGUUCUUAGUUGCCAUCAUUUAGUUGGGCACUCUAAGGAGACUGCCGGUGACAAACCGGAGGAAGGUGGGGAUGACGUCAAAUCAUCAUGCCCCUUAUGACCUGGGCUACACACGUGCUACAAUGGACGGUACAAACGGUUGCCAACCCGCGAGGGGGAGCUAAUCCGAUAAAACCGUUCUCAGUUCGGAUUGUAGGCUGCAACUCGCUAC